Molecule: non-coding RNA, 27 nt
Filed under: Homo sapiens (human)
Lineage: Eukaryota; Metazoa; Chordata; Mammalia; Primates; Hominidae
Source: RNAcentral
UGCUGAGACUGCUGAGUGAGGAAUGGC